GAACGGGGUGGGAAACCCGGCCAUAGAGCAUGAGAGCUGCGUACGGGUAAUGAAUAGGAGGAUAGUGGGAUCCUGAGUACCGCGAGGUCGGAGACGCCUUGUGGGAAUUUGCCGGCACCAUCCGGUAAGGCUAAAUACUCCUGAGAGACCGAUAGUGAACCAGUACCGUGAGGGAAAGGUGAAAAGAACCCCGAACAGGGGAGUGAAAUAGAACCUGAAACCGUGUACUUACAAGCGGUCGGAGCUGCAGCAAUGUGGUGACGGCGUGCCUUUUGCAUAAUGAGCCUACGAGUUACUCUUCAUUGGCAAGGUUAAGUGUUUAAGACACGCAGCCGAAGCGAAAGCGAGUCUGAAAAGGGCGCAUAGUCAGUGGAGGUAGACGCGAAACCUUGUGAUCUACCCAUGGACAGGUUGAAGGUGCCGUAACAGGUACUGGAGGACCGAACCGAUAAACGUUGAAAAGUUUCCGGAUGAUCUGUGGGUAGGGGUGAAAGGCUAAUCAAACUGGGAAAUAGCUCGUACUCCCCGAAAUGUUUUUAGGAACAGCCUGGCGGUUGAGUUAAUAAGAGGUAGAGCUACUAAUUGGGUGCGGGGGAGUCAAAUCCUACCAAAUCCAGAUAAACUCCGAAUGCUUAUUAAUAUACGCUGGAGUGAGGCUCUGGGUGCUAAGGUCCAGGGCCGAGAGGGAAAGAACCCAGACCAUCAGCUAAGGUCCCCAAAUUACCACUAAGUUGAACUAACGAGGUCCGAUUGCACAGACAGCUAGGAUGUUGGCUUGGAAGCAGCCAUUCAUUUAAAGAGUGCGUAACAGCUCACUAGUCGAGCGAUCGGGCAUGGAUAAUAAACGGGCAUUAAGCGUUAUACCGAAGCUAUGGAUUAUACAGCAAUGUAUACUGGUAGGGGAGCAUUCUAAUUGCCGGCGAAGCAGAUACGUAAGUUACUGUGGAGGAUAUAGAAAAGCAAAUGUAGGCAUAAGUAACGAUAAGGCGGGAGAGAAACCCGCCCACCGAAAGACUAAGGUUUCCUGAUCAACGCUAAUCGGAUCAGGGUUAGUCGGGGCCUAAGGUGAAGCCGAAGGGCGUAGCCGAUGGACAACUGGUUAAUAUUCCAGUACUUUUUAUAACUGCGAUGCGGUGACGGAGUAGUGACACUGACGCGAACUGACGGAAUAGUUCGUUAAAGGCCGUAGGUAUAGGGAACGUAGGAAAAUCCGCGAUCCUUGCUGAAAGCUGAUAGUACCUUGAGCCUUCGGGUAAGAGGAUAGUUCAGGUAAUCAGACUUCCAAGAAAACCCGCUAAGCUUCAGGUUAUAAAAACCCGUACCGUAAACCGACACAGGUAGUCGAGGAGAGAAUCCUAAGGUGCUCGAGUGAAUCAUGGCUAAGGAACUCGGCAAAAUGGCCCUGUAACUUCGGGAGAAGGGGCGCUGGUAGCAAUAUCAGCCGCAGUGAAAAGGCCCAGGCGACUGUUUAACAAAAACACAUGGCUAUGCAAAAUCGAAAGAUGACGUAUAUGGCCUGACACCUGCCCGGUGCUGGAAGGUUAAGAGGGGAUGUUAGUCGCAAGGCGAAGCAUUGAAUCGAAGCCCCAGUAAACGGCGGCCGUAACUAUAACGGUCCUAAGGUAGCGAAAUUCCUUGUCGGGUAAGUUCCGACCUGCACGAAUGGUGUAACGAUCUGGGCGCUGUCUCAGCC
RNAcentral lists this ribosomal RNA (1693 nucleotides) under metagenome. Its description in RNAcentral is "bacterial LSU rRNA". It matches the Rfam family "Bacterial large subunit ribosomal RNA", at positions 335 to 2026 of the family's 2925-position model. The record is from RNAcentral.